UUAACAUUAUAAUUUGUUUAUGGGAAAUUGCCCUAUUUUUCUUCAUUUCAGAGAUUAACUCUGACUUUCAAAUCUUAAGGAAAAAAGUACCUAAAAGAGGUUUUUUUCCCCUUUUUUUAAACAAACCGUCUUCUUUGUGUCAAAUUUUUUCCGCUCGAUAUUGGUGCAAGAUAUGGUCGACGUACUCUUUGCUAGAUCCCUCAUACUCUGACUCACGCUCCUUUGGUUGGUGUAUUGAUAUAGGGAACGGAUUUACUACUAUUAUACCGACCUUUUACUUUGCAUUAAGUAAACAUUCUUAGAUUUUUUUCCUACCCUCUACGUCUCGAAACCUUCAAAUGUAUCCUUUAACAGGAAUGACUUUUCACCACAGUACUUUGACGUUAACGAAAAUUAACGGUAUCGUAGGCUUAAUAACUUUUUAUCAAAUGCUCUAUGGAGCCAUUCUUUACUUUGUACAGUAUAUGUAUAACAGGCAUUGGAAGCAACGAGACAAUACCUUUAUACAGAUUUUUUUCUUCGUGGUGCUACCCAAUUUAUUUUGGAUAAUAUU
This is a long non-coding RNA of Zophobas morio, 553 nucleotides long. RefSeq lists it as uncharacterized. The transcript has 3 exons. Lineage: Eukaryota; Metazoa; Arthropoda; Insecta; Coleoptera; Tenebrionidae. The record is from RefSeq and is a predicted model, not a curated record.